RNAcentral lists this ribosomal RNA (335 nucleotides) under uncultured bacterium. RNAcentral's name for it is "bacterial SSU rRNA". It matches the Rfam family "Bacterial small subunit ribosomal RNA", at positions 29 to 351 of the family's 1533-position model. The record is from RNAcentral.
AACGAACGCUGGCGGCGUGCCUAAUACAUGCAAGUCGAACGAGAAAGCCCGGCUUCGGUUGGGUGAGUAAAGUGGCGAACGGGUGAGUAACACGUGGACAAUCUGCCUGUACAUCUGGGAUAAUCCCUCGAAAGGGGGUCUAAUACCGGAUAACACUUUCUGGUGGCAUCAUCGGGAAGCCAAAGACGGGGCAACCUGUUGUGUACAGAUGAGUCCGCGCUCCAUUAGCUUGUUGGCGGGGUAACAGCCCACCAAGGCGACGAUGGAUAGCCGGCCUGAGAGGGUGAUCGGCCACACUGGGACUGAGAUACGGCCCAGACUCCUACGGGAGGCAG